This is a long non-coding RNA of Apis mellifera (honey bee), 1207 nucleotides long. RefSeq lists it as uncharacterized. The transcript is spliced from 2 exons. The record is from RefSeq and is a predicted model, not a curated record. NCBI's taxonomy places the organism in Eukaryota, Metazoa, Arthropoda, Insecta, Hymenoptera, Apidae.
UGAUUUUAAAAUGAUUUUAAUCUUUUUCAAUUAAAUUUUUUCUUGCAUUCAAGAUCCAUUCUUUCUAAAAAAUAAAUUAGUAAUAAAAAACUAUGCACAUAUACAUGUCGAUCAAAAGUCGGAUGGACAAGCAUGAAACCAUACAAGUUAUAAAAGUGGUGGAUGUUAUUCAAAAAGUAGAGAAGAAUUGGGUAUAGCUUUGCAGCUUUCAGUAGUUCAGUGCGGAAAUUCCUUAUAUAAAAUUUCUAAUUACAAAUUAGAAAUUUUAAUAUUAAUUUUGUUAUUAUUAACAUGAUACACAUGAUAUAUGAUCAAGAAAUAAAAUGACACAAAACACGAACGUGAGAAUUCAUGCAAAAAGAAACGAUUUGUAUUUAAAAUGAUGAAAAGAACUACAAGGUUCUAAGAAUGAUCUCGAAGUUUUAUAAAAAAGUUAUAAUUGAUUAAAAAAAAAGUUAAUUAAUAUUCUUACACAACAUUGAUCAUAUGCAAAAAUUAAAUUAUUUUUGAACUUGAAAUAUACUAUAAUAAUCAUUAUCAACAUACUAAAAGGUGAAAGCUCAACUAGCAAUUAAUUUCACCGAAUUGCUGACUCGGCGAGAGCAAGAAUGAACAUGUCGAGACGAAAGAACCAUGAAGGUAAAGUGGAAGAAGGCCAAGGGAACGAAGAUGACGAAGGACAAAAGCGACCAAAGGAAGGUUCAGAACGAGCUUGCGCUGUGUGACCGACACGUAUAAAUAAAGAGUUGGAUAGCUGCGAGGUUGCCAGAUUUCAGUAAUAUUGAUCGACAAAGUCGACGCGGUCGCCAACCGGGGUCACGAAAAGAAACAUGGCAACAUUGUCCCGUUCCCAGCUGAUCGAGCUCUUCUCAGGUUUAUUCAACGGUCGACCGUAUCUCUGUUUCUUCGAGUUUGUAUGAAUUUUGUAUAUCAUUUUUGUAUGAAUCUCUCUUUAUUUUUCUCUUGUAAUUAACAAAGAUAUUUAUUAUUUUUUAUUUAUUUAUCAUCAUUUUUUUUAAUUUUUUCUUUCUUUUUCUUAUUAUGUCCGAUGAAUUCUGAUUUAUUACAAAUAUAAGAAAAUUGCUUUCUUCUAUUCUAUAACUACGCGUGAUAUUAUGAUAUGUAAUGAUAUUAUGCAAUAAAGAAAAUUUCAUUAUGCGCUAAAUAGUUAAAUUCUAUUUAUUUGUAAGAAUAAAACAGAAAGAAC